Molecule: ribosomal RNA, 497 nt
Filed under: uncultured bacterium
Lineage: Bacteria
Description: partial 16S ribosomal RNA
Rfam family: Bacterial small subunit ribosomal RNA
Source: RNAcentral
GACGAACGCUGGCGGCGUGCCUAAUACAUGCAAGUUGAGCGCUGAAGGUUGGUACUUGUACCAACUGGAUGAGCAGCGAACGGGUGAGUAACGCGUGGGGAAUCUGCCUUUGAGCGGGGGACAACAUUUGGAAACGAAUGCUAAUACCGCAUAAAAACUUUAAACACAAGUUUUAAGUUUGAAAGAUGCAAUUGCAUCACUCAAAGAUGAUCCCGCGUUGUAUUAGCUAGUUGGUGAGGUAAAGGCUCACCAAGGCGAUGAUACAUAGCCGACCUGAGAGGGUGAUCGGCCACAUUGGGACUGAGACACGGCCCAAACUCCUACGGGAGGCAGCAGUAGGGAAUCUUCGGCAAUGGACGAAAGUCUGAACGAGCAACGCCGCGUGAGUGAAGAAGGUUUUCGGAUCGUAAAACUCUGUUGGUAGAGAAGAACGUUGGUGAGAGUGGAAAGCUCAUCAAGUGACGGUAACUAACCAGAAAGGGACGGCUAACUACGUG